GACCCCUUAGCUCAGUGGUAGAGCGUGAGAUUCCAGCGCUCUGGAAAUUCCUCAAGGUCAAGCGUUCAACUCGCUUAGGGGUCA
This is a non-coding RNA of Pluteus cervinus, 84 nucleotides long. The record is from the annotation of a GenBank genome assembly. Lineage: Eukaryota; Fungi; Basidiomycota; Agaricomycetes; Agaricales; Pluteaceae.